GGGCCCAUAGCUCAGCGGUUAGAGCUGCCGCCUCAUAAGCGGUCGGUCCCAGGUUCGAAUCCUGGUGGGCCCA
Molecule: transfer RNA, 73 nt
Filed under: Anaerolineae bacterium
Lineage: Bacteria; Bacillati; Chloroflexota; Anaerolineae
Description: tRNA-Ile
Rfam family: tRNA
About the family: Transfer RNA (tRNA) molecules are approximately 80 nucleotides in length. Their secondary structure includes four short double-helical elements and three loops (D, anti-codon, and T loops).
Source: RNAcentral